CACGCAGGCGGUUUGGCAAGUCGGAUGUGAAAACCCGAAGCUCAACUUCGGGCCUGCAUCCGAAACUGCCCGACUAGGGGUAGGUAGGGGAGAUCGGAAUUCCUGGUGUAGCGGUGAAAUGCGCAGAUAUCAGGAGGAACACCGGUGGCGAAGGCGGGACUCUGGGCCGAUACUGACGCUGAGGAGCGAAAGCGUGGGGAGCGAACA
RNAcentral lists this ribosomal RNA (207 nucleotides) under uncultured bacterium. RNAcentral describes it as "partial 16S ribosomal RNA". It matches the Rfam family "Bacterial small subunit ribosomal RNA", at positions 568 to 774 of the family's 1533-position model. The record is from RNAcentral.